GCUUACGGCCACACCCUGGUUCACGCCCGAUCUCGCUUUGAUCUCGGAAGCUAAGAUAGGUUGGGCCUGGUUAGUACUUGGAUGGGAGACCGCCUGGGAAUACCAGGUGCUGUAAGCU
RNAcentral lists this ribosomal RNA (118 nucleotides) under Scophthalmus maximus (turbot). Lineage: Eukaryota; Metazoa; Chordata; Actinopteri; Pleuronectiformes; Scophthalmidae. The record is from RNAcentral.